This 400-nucleotide ribosomal RNA is filed under the name uncultured bacterium. RNAcentral's name for it is "bacterial SSU rRNA". It matches the Rfam family "Bacterial small subunit ribosomal RNA", at positions 355 to 748 of the family's 1533-position model. The record is from RNAcentral.
UAGGGAAUUUUCGUCAAUGGGCGCAAGCCUGAACGAGCAAUGCCGCGUGAGUGAAGAAGGUCUUCGGAUUGUAAAGCUCUGUUGCCGGGGAAAAAGAGGGAAUGCAGGAAAUGGCAUUUCAUGGAUGGUACCCGGCCAGAAAGCCACGGCUAACUACGUGCCAGCAGCCGCGGUAAUACGUAGGUGGCGAGCGUUAUCCGGAAUGAUUGGGCGUAAAGGGUGCGCAGGCGGUCUGUUAAGUCUGAAGGCAAAGGGAUGAGCUCAACUCAUUCAUGAUUCAGAAACUGGCAGACUUGAGGACAGGAGAGGGCGGUGGAACUCCAUGUGUAGCGGUAAAAUGCGCAGAGAUAUGGAAGAACACCAGUGGCGAAGGCGGCCGCCUGGCCUGUGACUGACGCUG